AAAAGAUUUAUGUAAUUUUUUCUCAUAUUUGUCUAUUUCAGAAAGAAAAAAAAAAAAAAAAAAAAAGUUAAAAUGUUACUUUAGAAUAUUCCCAUCUACAGUUCUACAUUACUUUAGAAUUAUGAAAAGAUUUGCUUAUUUCUCGAAAAUACAAAACGAAGAAAGAUGGGGGUGGGGAAGUAGGUAGAAGUAGAAAAGAUGUCGACUCAAACCUUUUAAAUAGCGAACACGUGUGGGUACUAGAGAACAGUCAACGGCAGAUAUUAGUGCCACGCAUGAAGUUCAAAUUCACUUCCCCUCUAACUUUUGCUUCCCUUCCUUAAGUUUUAGACCCCCACCCACAUCUUCUUUCACAAAUCACAAGCACAACUGCACAACAACACCGACUGCAGAUCCACCGAUUCCAAACAAAUCUCUUUCCUCUUGAUUUCAGUGAAGAAGACGAUCAAGAAAGAUGCGCUCCCAUGGUCCUCCUCACCAUCCUCCUCCACCGCCACAUCAUCACCCCCCACCUCCUCCGCCUCGCCAUACCAACCAUGAUGGUCCACAUGAUGGUAACUCACUGGUGUCAUUCUGCUGUUGCCCUUGCUUAAUGGUGACCUCUCUGAUUGGGAGUUGCUUCUCUUGUCUCUGUUACCCUAUCCUCCAUUGUUUCGGAAUGGAUCGUCAUCAACCUCCUCAUCCUCAUCGUUACUAGGCUACUAGCUAGUUAUAAACUAUCUUCAUCUCGUAUCGUAUCACCAAUCACCAUGUAAUGUUGUUGUUCCCCUGUUCCUGUUUCAACUUUUAUUAAUCAUUUGCUUUGUUUUUGGCUUUUCUAUGGUGUUGUGUUCAUGGGAACCUUUUUUAUCCAAUGGGUAUGUAAUCGGAUCUUUGGAUCUUAUCAUGUAGUUGACUUCUAAAACAUGUGUUUCAUUUGGUGCA
Molecule: long non-coding RNA, 924 nt
Organism: Lactuca sativa (garden lettuce)
Lineage: Eukaryota; Viridiplantae; Streptophyta; Magnoliopsida; Asterales; Asteraceae
Source: RefSeq, a predicted model, not a curated record